This 253-nucleotide ribosomal RNA is filed under the name uncultured bacterium. RNAcentral describes it as "partial 16S ribosomal RNA". It matches the Rfam family "Bacterial small subunit ribosomal RNA", at positions 524 to 776 of the family's 1533-position model. The record is from RNAcentral.
UACGUAGGUGGCAAGCGUUGUCCGGAUUUAUUGGGCGUAAAGCGCGCGUAGGCGGCGAGAUUAGUCUGAUGUGAAAGCCCCCGGCUCAACCGGGGAAGGUCAUUGGAAACUGGGUCACUUGAGUGCAGAAGAGGAAAGCGGAAUUCCAUGUGUAGCGGUGAAAUGCGUAGAUAUAUGGAGGAACACCAGUGGCGAAGGCGGCUUUCUGGUCUGUAACUGACGCUGAGGCUCGAAAGCGUGGGUAGCAAACAGG